This 253-nucleotide ribosomal RNA is filed under the name uncultured bacterium. RNAcentral's name for it is "partial 16S ribosomal RNA". It matches the Rfam family "Bacterial small subunit ribosomal RNA", at positions 524 to 776 of the family's 1533-position model. The record is from RNAcentral.
UACGGAGGGUGCAAGCGUUGUCCGGAUUUAUUGGGUUUAAAGGGUGCGUAGGCGGUCUUUUAAGUCCGUUGUGAAAACUCGAGGCUCAACCUCGAGACGCCGGUGGAAACUGCAAAGCUAGAGUCCGGAAGAGGAGAGUGGAAUUCCUGGUGUAGCGGUGAAAUGCGCAGAUAUCAGGAAGAACACCCGUGGCGAAGGCGGCUCUCUGGGACGGUACUGACGCUGAGACGCGAAAGCGUGGGGAGCGAACAGG